This 484-nucleotide ribosomal RNA is filed under the name uncultured bacterium. Its description in RNAcentral is "partial 16S ribosomal RNA". It matches the Rfam family "Bacterial small subunit ribosomal RNA", at positions 30 to 507 of the family's 1533-position model. The record is from RNAcentral.
AUUGAACGCUGGCGGCAGGCCUAACACAUGCAAGUCGAGCGGAUGAAGGGAGCUUGCUCCUGGAUUCAGCGGAGGACGGGUGAGUAAUGCCUAGGAAUCUGCCUGGUAGUGGGGGAUAACGUCCGGAAACGGGCGCUAAUACCGCAUACGUCCUGAGGAAGAAAGUGGGGGAUCUUCGGACCUCACGCUAUCAGAUGAGCCUAGGUCGGAUUAGCUAGUUGGUGGGGUAAAGGCCUACCAAGGCGACGAUCCGUAACUGGUCUGAGAGGAUGAUCAGUCACACUGGAACUGAGACACGGUCCAGACUCCUACGGGAGGCAGCAGUGGGGAAUAUUGGACAAUGGGCGAAAGCCUGAUCCAGCCAUGCCGCGUGUGUGAAGAAGGUCUUCGGAUUGUAAAGCACUUUAAGUUGGGAGGAAGGGAAGUAAGUUAAUACCUUGCUGUUUUGACGUUAACAACAGAAUAAGCACCGGCUAACUUCGUG